RNAcentral lists this ribosomal RNA (497 nucleotides) under uncultured bacterium. RNAcentral's name for it is "partial 16S ribosomal RNA". It matches the Rfam family "Bacterial small subunit ribosomal RNA", at positions 28 to 507 of the family's 1533-position model. The record is from RNAcentral.
GAUGAACGCUGGCGGCGUGCCUAAUACAUGCAAGUCGAGCGAACAGACGAGGAGCUUGCUCCUCUGACGUUAGCGGCGGGCGGGUGAGUAACACGUGGAUAACCUACCUAUAAGACUGGGAUAACUUCGGGAAACCGGAGCUAAUACCGGAUAAUAUAUUGAACCGCAUGGUUCAAUAGUGAAAGACGGUUUUGCUGUCACUUAUAGAUGGAUCCGCGCCGCAUUAGCUAGUUGGUAAGGUAACGGCUUACCAAGGCAACGAUGCGUAGCCGACCUGAGAGGGUGAUCGGCCACACUGGAACUGAGACACGGUCCAGACUCCGACGGGAGGCAGCAGUAGGGAAUCUUCCGCAAUGGGCGAAAGCCUGACGGAGCAACGCCGCGUGAGUGAGGAAGGUCUUCGGAUCGUAAAACUCUAUUAUUAGGGAAGAACAAAUGUGUAAGUAACUAUGCACGUCUUGACGGUACCUAAUCAGAAAGCCACGGCUAACUACGUG